UACGGAGGGUGCAAGCGUUAAUCGGAAUUACUGGGCGUAAAGCGCACGUAGGCUGUAGUGUAAGUCAGGGGUGAAAUCCCACGGCUCAACCGUGGAACUGCCUUUGAUACUGCACAACUUGAAUCCGGGAGAGGGUGGCGGAAUUCCAGGUGUAGGAGUGAAAUCCGUAGAUAUCUGGGGGAACAUCAGUGGCGAAGGCGGCCACCUGGACCGGUAUUGACGCUGAGGUGCGAAAGCGUGGGGAGCAAACAGG
RNAcentral lists this ribosomal RNA (253 nucleotides) under uncultured bacterium. RNAcentral's name for it is "partial 16S ribosomal RNA". It matches the Rfam family "Bacterial small subunit ribosomal RNA", at positions 524 to 776 of the family's 1533-position model. The record is from RNAcentral.